RNAcentral lists this unclassified non-coding RNA (493 nucleotides) under Hevea brasiliensis (rubber tree). Lineage: Eukaryota; Viridiplantae; Streptophyta; Magnoliopsida; Malpighiales; Euphorbiaceae. The record is from RNAcentral.
GGCUUAGGUGCCUGGCAAAUUAUGAAGCCCUUAGAUUUUCAAAUCCCAUUUUGGGUUUGGGGGAAACAUUGGUGUCAAGAAUGAAAGAACGGAGUGUCAACAAUAGUGGGAAGUACAUUUCUGUGCAUCUCCGCUUUGAGGAGGAUAUGGUGGCUUUCUCUUGUUGCAUUUAUGAUGGUGGUGAAGAAGAAAAAAGGGACAUGGAUGCUGCAAGAGAGAGGGGAUGGAAGGGAAAAUUUACAAAACCUGGUCGUGUGAUUCGUCCUGGAGCUAUCAGAAUUAAUGGAAAGUGUCCCUUGACUCCUUUAGAGGUUGGUUUGAUGUUAAGAGGCAUGGGAUUUGACAAGUUUACAUCCAUCUAUUUAGCAUCUGGAAAAAUAUACGACUCUGAGCGACAUAUGAAACCACUAUUAGAAAUGUUUCCUCUUUUACAAACUAAAGAAAUGCUGGCAUCACCAGAAGAAUUAGGCCCAUUUCAGAAUUACUCUUCCAG